UUUUUUUCUUCUUUUUUAGUUGGAUUACAUCUGCCUCUGAUCCUUUUCUGCUAAAUAUGUUUUGAUACAAUAGUCCCUUGCAGCCACACUAGGGUUUGUUGUCUUGGUUUGCCGCCCUCGGACGUCUUGUUCAACCCGACCUCUGUGGAUAUUGGGAUUGUAAUACUACACUGAAUGUUUAUUAAUACCCCUGAAGAAUGCCUUGGUGAAACAUGUUGGGAGAAUUUGCCAUUAAAUCUAAUUCAGUGUAUUAAAUCAUGUAUUGAUCAAUAUUAGCAUUAUAUCAAUUUGUAAAGAAUACAUUUUGUCUUCUUUUAAAUUGAAUUAAUCCUUGUGUUGUGACUUGUUAGGGACCGUUAUAAUCCCCCCCAUUUCCCUUCCUUACUUUGUUACCCAUUGUAUAGGGAUGAGGUGCCGGAUCCCAUAGAGGACACACCAGCUACUUUCACCUGAUAACCACUAAGUCUCUGUGCUGCUUCCUAUUUUCUAUUCUCUUAUAGGAUAGGGGAAUCAUCUACUGCAUAAAGGGGGCAAACCUCUUUUGU
Rana temporaria (common frog) is the source of this 545-nucleotide long non-coding RNA. RefSeq lists it as uncharacterized. The transcript is spliced from 3 exons. Lineage: Eukaryota; Metazoa; Chordata; Amphibia; Anura; Ranidae. The record is from RefSeq and is a predicted model, not a curated record.